Long non-coding RNA from Numida meleagris (helmeted guineafowl), 1859 nucleotides. RefSeq lists it as uncharacterized. The transcript has 3 exons. The record is from RefSeq and is a predicted model, not a curated record. Lineage: Eukaryota; Metazoa; Chordata; Aves; Galliformes; Numididae.
CGCUGGAAAGUUGCAGCAAUUUGUGGAGGUUUUAAUGGCCUUUCCUUUGUCAGGGACACCUUACUCCUCUGAGCAAGAGGUGCUGGGCCUGUGCCAAGCCCAGAGGAAGCCAGCAAAGUCCCUGCAAGUAGCAACAGAGCUGAAAGUUGUCUUGGAGGAAACUGCUAGACCAAGACAGGGAUUUGUUCCUGCUUUAUGUACGUGUUCAGCCUGGGAAGUUGAAGUCUUCCAAGGAAGCAACCAAGUAUCAGCAAGCGGAUUCUGUUCCUUACUCCUGAGAAGCUAAAUCCAAAGAAAGAAAGACAAGAUUUUCUUCUGAGAUGUGAUGUGACUACAGACUCAGGUUGUCUGCUAUUUUUUUAUGUUGUUCCACCAGUUUAGAUAAUCACAGCUGCUUAUUCAAUACAUAGGUAAUCCUGUAGCAAACCAAUGCUAACACAGUUGCUCUUAUGCCACUUCUGGGUCUGGUAGUAAGGAUACCAACAGAGGAAUGAUGGUAACCCCAUGCUUCUUGUUCUUUGUCCGCCACUGAGGUCCACAGUGCCACAAUAAGAGUUCAGCUGCUUUAGGUGACAAUAAGGAAAGAAGUUUUAUUGCAGGUUGUAGGUACUCAUCUAAGCACUAUGUUGUGUGCUGUAAUUGCAGGCUGCAUUAGGUCAUGCUUUGUCACAAGGCUUACUCCAAACAGAAGUUACUUCCAUUGGAUUGUCCUUGCAGCAGCAACGUAAAUGAACAAGCAUGGGCAGCUUUGCCAGAAAUGUCUAAAACUAAAUAAUUAGUCAACAGCCAUUCAUGCAGCAUAUGACAGAAGUGCUAUUAUUGUCAGGGAGACUUCGGAGCCUGUGACUACAACUCACCACUCAGUCUGAACAGUUAGUUGAACAUAACAUACUUGUAAUAAUAUUUAAAGCAUAAUAUCUGAUACGCGUAUGAGAGUCCAAAUUCAUAUGACAUACAAGAAAAAACAAUGACUGUUACAUUAGAGACAUGAAUUCCUUUUAAGGUAGCUAAGUAAAUCGGCAGGUAGUUCUUAAAACUUGUUUGUAUACAAAUCCCUUUCUGCUGCUGGAGAUCCAGCAGCUCUGUUCAUACUUUAGGCAAAAGAGCUCACAAGCUGCCUACAAACCUCUAGUUUGUAGUUUUCGCAGGCGGGCGGAAAGAGCCCUCACUUAUUCCAAGUGCUCUGCAGCAUUUUGAAAAAAACUAAUGUGAAUCCUAGGGAUAGUGGGGCACAGUUCUGAUACUAAUAUGCCCUACACAAUUAAUUUGAGUGCAAGGCCAUGAUGAUGCAGCUAUGCUGUUGUGGGUUCCAGACAUACUUCCUCUGCAGUUAGCUGAGAUAUUUGGACAGUUUUCCACUGCCCAAUGUACAGCAUGUCCAAUGUUUGUACAGUCCUUAGCAAAAUAGGACUCUACUCUUGAUUGGCAUCAAAACAGCACAGUGAUUCUAAUUAUAAAUACCAGGGAAAUAAAUGAUCACAGAAGGCAUUUAAUGUAUUUUUUCCAGCAUGCAACAGCAAUACUAAUACGUACAUGAGCACAAUGCAAUCAGAUUCUGAUGUAUGCAAUAUAUUUUUAACACAAUGGACUUGAUCCAGACAUUUCUGGCACCAUCUUCUAUUGUCUUUCAUCACUUUGCAGUGAAGUCAUGUAGGGCACUCUGGACUUGAGGUGGCUGUGGUCUAGUGCUACAAUUAAUGUUGAAUAAAAAACAAGUUUGUUAGUACAGCUUAGAUAAUUGUUAGGCAAACAAAUAUUUGUUUGUGUAAAGAAACAAUCACUGAAUAGAUGGAACAAGACAUUUUUGUCCCUGUCUUCAUGCACUGUGCUGCAAAAUAAAUGCAGAUCUGGGAGAGAGA